AUGAAGGGGAGAAACAAAGCGGCACUCCUAGAGACACAUGCCCCAGGGCCUAUCACCACGGAGUUCUGCCACUGGUCGUCCCAACCGAUCACCUUUGACCAUCGUGAUUACUCGGCAAGUAUCCGGCAUGCAGGAUGGGCUGCCUUGGUGUUAGACCCGAUAAUUGACGGAUACCACUUCAGACGAGUCCUGAUGGACGGCAGCAGUAGUUUAAACCUGAUAUAUCAAGACACAGUCCGCAAAAUGGGGAUAGACCCAACAAAAAUCAGCCAUAGGAAUACUACCUUUAAAGGAGUAACGCCAGGCCCAGAAGCCCAUUGCACGGGCUCCCUGCUACUAGAGGUUAUAUUCGGCUUUCCCGAUAACUUCCGAAGCGAAAAGUUAACCUUCCACAUCGCUCCGUUCCAAAGUGGCUAUCAAGCACUACUCGGACGUGAAGCUUUCGCUCGCUUUAACGCAAUACCGCAUUACGCUUCUCUCAUGCUUAAGAUGCCCGGUCCACGUGACAUCAUUACAGUAAAUGGAAAUAUUGAGCGCUCCUUGCGCGUGGAAGACCGUGCGGCUGCCUUGGCAGCCGCACACUAG
This 585-nucleotide ribosomal RNA is filed under the name Triticum aestivum (bread wheat). RNAcentral's name for it is "partial small subunit ribosomal RNA". The record is from RNAcentral. Lineage: Eukaryota; Viridiplantae; Streptophyta; Magnoliopsida; Poales; Poaceae.